AAUAGAUACCCAGGUAGUCCAUGCCGUAAACGAUGUCUACUAGCCGUUGGGGCCUUUGAGGCUUUAGUGGCGCAGCUAACGCGAUAAGUAGACCGCCUGGGGAGUACGGUCGCAAGACUAAAACUCAAAUGAAUUGACGGGGGCCCGCACAAGCGGUGGAGCAUGUGGUUUAAUUCGAUGCAACGCGAAGAACCUUACCUGGUCUUGACAUAGUAAGAACUUUCCAGAGAUGGAUUGGUGCCUUCGGGAACUUACAUACAGGUGCUGCAUGGCUGUCGUCAGCUCGUGUCGUGAGAUGUUGGGUUAAGUCCCGCAACGAGCGCAACCCUUUUCCUAUUUGCCAGCACUUCGGUGGAACUUUAAGGAUACUGCCAGUGACAAACUGGAGAAGCGGGACGACGUCAAGUCAUCAUGGCCCUUACGACCAGGGCUACACACGUGCUACAAUGGUCGGUACAAAGGGUUGCUACCUAGCGAUAGGAUGCUAAUCUCAAAAAGCCGAUCGUAGUCCGGAUUGGAGUCUGC
This 525-nucleotide ribosomal RNA is filed under the name uncultured bacterium. Its description in RNAcentral is "bacterial SSU rRNA". It matches the Rfam family "Bacterial small subunit ribosomal RNA", at positions 777 to 1308 of the family's 1533-position model. The record is from RNAcentral.